UACGUAGGGUGCAAACGUUGUCCGGAAUUAUUGGGCGUAAAGAGCUCGUAGGCGGUCUGUCGCGUCUGCUGUGAAAACUCAGGGCUUAACCCUGAGCUUGCAGUGGGUACGGGCAGACUAGAGUGCGGUAGGGGAGACUGGAAUUCCUGGUGUAGCGGUGAAAUGCGCAGAUAUCAGGAGGAACACCGGUGGCGAAGGCGGGUCUCUGGGCCGUAACUGACGCUGAGGAGCGAAAGCAUGGGGAGCGAACAGG
RNAcentral lists this ribosomal RNA (253 nucleotides) under uncultured bacterium. RNAcentral describes it as "partial 16S ribosomal RNA". It matches the Rfam family "Bacterial small subunit ribosomal RNA", at positions 524 to 776 of the family's 1533-position model. The record is from RNAcentral.